CCUGGGGUUCUGCCCCCAGUACCCUACCAAGACAUGCGGUUGGAGUAAUCCGGUGGUGUGAAGCUCUUGGAACAAUGGAUGCCUCGCUUGCAAAAGCGGUAGUGAACCCGCGAGGAGUUCACUACGACUGCUAGCAUCAAAGCGGUCGGGAAC
Ktedonobacter racemifer DSM 44963 is the source of this 153-nucleotide non-coding RNA. The record is from Rfam. Lineage: Bacteria; Bacillati; Chloroflexota; Ktedonobacteria; Ktedonobacterales; Ktedonobacteraceae.